AUACGUAGGGAGCAAGCGUUGUCCGGAUUUACUGGGUGUAAAGGGUGCGUAGGCGGCUUUUUAAGUCAGAUGUGAAAUCUAUGGGCUCAACCCAUAAACUGCAUUUGAAACUAGAGAGCUUGAGUGAAGUAGAGGCAGGCGGAAUUCCCUGUGUAGCGGUGAAAUGCGUAGAGAUAGGGAGGAACACCAGUGGCGAAGGCGGCCUGCUGGGCUUUAACUGACGCUGAGGCACGAAAGCGUGGGUAGCAAACAGGAUUAGAUACCCUGGUAGUCCACGCUGUAAACGAUGAUUACUAGGUGUGGGGGGACUGACCCCUUCCGUGCCGGAGUUAACACAAUAAGUAAUCCACCUGGGGAGUACGGCCGCAAGGUUGAAACUCAAAUGAAUUGACGGGG
RNAcentral lists this ribosomal RNA (396 nucleotides) under uncultured bacterium. Its description in RNAcentral is "partial 16S ribosomal RNA". It matches the Rfam family "Bacterial small subunit ribosomal RNA", at positions 523 to 918 of the family's 1533-position model. The record is from RNAcentral.